RNAcentral lists this ribosomal RNA (136 nucleotides) under uncultured bacterium. RNAcentral's name for it is "partial 16S ribosomal RNA". It matches the Rfam family "Bacterial small subunit ribosomal RNA", at positions 355 to 508 of the family's 1533-position model. The record is from RNAcentral.
UGGGGAAUAUUGGACAAUGGGCGCAAGCCUGAUCCAGCCAUGCCGCGUGAGUGAUGAAGGCCUUAGGGUUGUAAAGCUCUUUCGACGGGGACGAUGAUGACGGUACCCGUAGAAGAAGCCCCGGCUAACUUCGUGC